AUUGAACGCUGGCGGCAUGCCUUACACAUGCAAGUCGAACGGCAGCACGGGGCAACCUGGUGGCGAGUGGCGAACGGGUGAGUAAUAUAUCGGAACGUACCCAGAAGUGGGGGAUAACGCAGCGAAAGUUGCGCUAAUACCGCAUACGAUCUACGGAUGAAAGUGGGGGACCUGUAAGGGCCUCAUGCUUUUGGAGCGGCCGAUAUCUGAUUAGCUAGUUGGUGAGGUAAGAGCUCACCAAGGCAUCGAUCAGUAGCUGGUCUGAGAGGACGACCAGCCACACUGGAACUGAGACACGGUCCAGACUCCUACGGGAGGCAGCAGUGGGGAAUUUUGGACAAUGGGGGCAACCCUGAUCCAGCAAUGCCGCGUGAGUGAAGAAGGC
Molecule: ribosomal RNA, 385 nt
Filed under: uncultured bacterium
Lineage: Bacteria
Description: bacterial SSU rRNA
Rfam family: Bacterial small subunit ribosomal RNA
Source: RNAcentral